GGGCACGAUGGCUCAUGCCUGUAAUCCCAGCGACUCGGGAGGCGGAGGCAGGAGGAUCUCAAGUUCACAGCCAGCCUCAGCAACAACGAGAUGCUAAGCAACUCUGCGAGACCCUGUCUCUA
RNAcentral lists this small RNA (122 nucleotides) under Marmota monax (woodchuck). The record is from RNAcentral. Lineage: Eukaryota; Metazoa; Chordata; Mammalia; Rodentia; Sciuridae.